Molecule: transfer RNA, 72 nt
Filed under: Pangasianodon gigas (Mekong giant catfish)
Lineage: Eukaryota; Metazoa; Chordata; Actinopteri; Siluriformes; Pangasiidae
Description: tRNA-Glu
Rfam family: tRNA
About the family: Transfer RNA (tRNA) molecules are approximately 80 nucleotides in length. Their secondary structure includes four short double-helical elements and three loops (D, anti-codon, and T loops). Further hydrogen bonds mediate the characteristic L-shaped molecular structure. tRNAs have two regions of fundamental functional importance: the anti-codon, which is responsible for specific mRNA codon recognition, and the 3' end, to which the tRNAs corresponding amino acid is attached (by aminoacyl-tRNA synthetases). tRNAs cope with the degeneracy of the genetic code in two manners: having more than one tRNA (with a specific anti-codon) for a particular amino acid; and 'wobble' base-pairing, i.e. permitting non-standard base-pairing at the 3rd anti-codon position.
Source: RNAcentral
UCCCGGGAGGACUAGUGGUUAGGCCACAGCGCUCUCACCGCUGCAGCCCAGGUUUGAUUCCAGGUCAGGGAA